Molecule: long non-coding RNA, 1193 nt
Organism: Dreissena polymorpha
Lineage: Eukaryota; Metazoa; Mollusca; Bivalvia; Myida; Dreissenidae
Exons: 3
Source: RefSeq, a predicted model, not a curated record
UUUUUUUUUGCCUUCCAUUGUUGCCAUAAUUCCCAUACGAAACUGACUCGACGUAAAAAUUUCGCGCGGCCACCUUCGAUAAAUCUGUUGGCAAACAAUGGGUGAAAAAAAACGAAAAGUUCUUGAAGUUGCAGCCCUUUCCAAGAGUCCUUCGCAGACAUCUGCCAGAAAAAUCGCCCGAAAAUACAGCGGAAAGUGUAUGACACCAGUUAAGGCAGCCAAUGUGUGGAGAGCUUUAGAAAGCGUAGGCAGGGAUGAGGCUUAUUAUUGGGUAGCGGCCACCAGUCCGUCCAACACUGCUCCAUCAACAUCAAUGCUUCUCGGGUCAGUAGCCGCCACCAGACUGUCAACCACUGCUCCAUCAACAUCAAGGCCUUCUCGGGUCAGUAGCCGCCACCAGACUGUCAACCUAUGCUCCAUCAACAUCAAGGCUUCAUAAGACCGUCACAACCACCAGUCCAUCAAAGACAAUCAUAAUUGACAAUUCAGUGAUUAAGGGAUACCAUGUUUUUAAAAUCAAACCACCUGUUACAGACACUAACUUUAAUGUUGACCGGGAGUAUACCAAACUGAUAGAUAAAAAUGCUUGUCUGGUGUGGAUGCCUGACAUUUCUUAAUUUAAUAUGUCUUUGCAUGACAUGUACACAGUUGAAAAAAGACACUUAAAAUUGUUAGAUAUUCCAGGCUUACCAGUAGGCCAUGUUCACGGCAUAUUGUCGAGCUUCUUUCGCAGAAUUUUGGACUCUGAUGGCAAUAUUUAUGCGAUUGUGACAGGAGAGCCAUGUCCAUGUUUCCCAAUAUGGCCUGCCCCACAUGAGAAGGGAGGUGGCGUUGUUAUACCUUGUAGAUAUGUUUUGGUUGUUGAUGAUGCUGGCAGCAUUUUUGCCACUCUUACUGAAGUUCUUUUAAAAUGCUCAGAUCUCUUCACCUUUUUUACUCCAUUCAGUCAUUCAGUUGAAUCAUUUCUAGUCAUUGUAACUAGUAAAGUCUGUUUCAGUAAGUCAUAUUGUCUACAAUAGUUAUAAUCUUAAUAAUGUUGUUUGAUGUGUUCCCAUUUUACAUUGAUAUUUUUUUUAACAUUGAUGUUAUUUAAGUUCUUGUGUGUAGUUGUUUUAGUUUUGUUUUGUUUGAUACUGUUUUUGAUAGUUUAGAACUACACUGAUUGUUUACUGUUUUACAUGAUGAUUUAUAUU